Molecule: ribosomal RNA, 117 nt
Filed under: Danio rerio (zebrafish)
Lineage: Eukaryota; Metazoa; Chordata; Actinopteri; Cypriniformes; Danionidae
Source: RNAcentral
ACGUACAGCCAUAUCACCCUGCAGCCCAAGACCGGUUACUCACUGAAGCUAAGCAGGGCUGAGCCUGGUCAGUACCUGGAUGGGAGACUACAUUGGAAAACAAGGUUGCUGUUGGAA